This 749-nucleotide ribosomal RNA is filed under the name uncultured cyanobacterium. Its description in RNAcentral is "bacterial SSU rRNA". It matches the Rfam family "Bacterial small subunit ribosomal RNA", at positions 8 to 796 of the family's 1533-position model. Lineage: Bacteria; Bacillati; Cyanobacteriota. The record is from RNAcentral.
AGAGUUUGAUCAUGGCUCAGGAUGAACGCUGGCGGUCUGCUUAACACAUGCAAGUCGAACGAAUCCCUUCGGGGAUUAGUGGCGGACGGGUGAGUAACGCGUGAGAAUCUACCAAAAGGACUGGGACAACCACUGGAAACGGUGGCUAAUACCGGAUGAGCCGCAACGUAAAAGAGGAAACUCGCCUUUUGAAGAGCUCGCGUCUGAUUAGCUAGUUGGUGAGGUAAAGGCUCACCAAGGCGGCGAUCAGUAGCUGGUCCGAGAGGAUGAUCAGCCACACUGGGACUGAGACACGGCCCAGACUCCUACGGGAGGCAGCAGUGGGGAAUUUUCCGCAAUGGGCGAAAGCCUGACGGAGCAAUACCGCGUGAGGGAGGAAGGCUCUUGGGUUGUAAACCUCUUUUCUCAAGGAAGAAAAAAAUGACGGUACUUGAGGAAUAAGCAUCGGCUAACUACGUGCCAGCAGCCGCGGUAAUACGUAGGGGGCGAGCGUUGUCCGAAGUUACUGGGCGUAAAGCGCGCGUAGGCGGUUGCCUAAGUCUGGGGUGAAAGGUUCAGGGCUUAACCCGAACAGUGCCUUGGAUACUGGGCGACUUGAGUGCCGAAGAGGAAAGCGGAAUUCCUGGUGUAGCGGUGAAAUGCGUAGAUAUCAGGAGGAACACCGAUGGCGAAGGCAGCUUUCUGGUCGGUAACUGACGCUGAGGUGCGAAAGCGUGGGGAGCGAACGGGAUUAGAUACCCCCGUAGUCC